Molecule: long non-coding RNA, 562 nt
Filed under: Bos taurus (domestic cattle)
Lineage: Eukaryota; Metazoa; Chordata; Mammalia; Artiodactyla; Bovidae
Description: long non-coding RNA NONBTAT015952
Source: RNAcentral
GGAGAAGGGGAAAGACAGACAUAAAAGGCAGAGUAUGUGCACAGAACUGUAAGAUACAUGUCCCCACGACAGAAAUAAAGAAGGCAGAGAUUCACUGAGGGGGGAAUUCAUGGACAUUUAUGGUCACAUUAUUCUGAUUGGCUGAGGGGAUCAGCAGGCUUCUGGCCAGUUUUCUUUCCGUUCACGGAAAUAAAAGUUCAGUGUGUUUGAAAAUGAACUAAGUUUAUUCCCCCUUAUUUUUCUUGAUAGGAAGGAUUUAUUUAUGUAGUCAGAGAAGGCUUGUUUCUGCUAAGUGAAAAUUUGGCCCAGGGAGUAUAAUAAUAAGCUAAAUGGGAACUGGAUAAAAAUAUGUUUAUUAUGACAUUAUUUAAUUUGUUGAUAUCCCUACAUUCCCUACCUAAUACCAUGAAAGAGCUUCUCAAAUAGCAGUACAGUUGGUCAAAUUGUUAAAAGUGGGGUCAGCUUGUCUGUAUCUGUAUGAGCUGGAUCAAUGGCUAGUUUCUUUGAGCUGGUUACCUUGACAACCCAAGGCUCCUCUCCAGAUGUGCCAUCCACAGGAGUA